This is a long non-coding RNA of Cryptomeria japonica (Japanese cedar), 954 nucleotides long. RefSeq lists it as uncharacterized. The transcript is spliced from 2 exons. The record is from RefSeq and is a predicted model, not a curated record. NCBI's taxonomy places the organism in Eukaryota, Viridiplantae, Streptophyta, Pinopsida, Cupressales, Cupressaceae.
UUAGAUAAGAGUUAGUUCAACUCUUCAGAGAGUAAAGGUGAAGAGUGGCCCCAAUAUAUUGUAGGGGACUAAUAGAAUGCUACAUAUAUAUUGUGGAUUAGUAGAAGAAAGCUUUCAUCCCAGGGCCUCUUCCUUUCUUGACUUUACAUGCAGGAAGCUCCAGGUAGAGGGAAGUUCAGAGAAAACAACCAUAAUCAUAAUAACAAUUUUUUUUAAUCCAGAUCAUAGAAUUUGAUCCGAAACGUUGACAACAAAAAACAUACAUAAUCAAAUCCAAAAACAAAAUCUUGAUAACGAUUCUCUCAAGACACCAUUAUGCCUGAAGAGCGGGGUCAAGUUACAGAAAACAAUGGUGAUGGGGUCCAAGGAGGAGAAGUAAUUGUGGGCAGCUUUCUGAACUUUGGGAACAUCAGAAAUGGGCAUGUGGUGGACAAUCAUGGUGGAAAAAAGGGCAAAACAAAGGAAGACAAACUGUUUUCUGUUUCGGCUGAGAUAAGAGCAGUGGAAUGCUUCAAAUUGGAGAGAAAACUGAAGGAAAUUUUAAUGGAGAAUGAAGAAACUCUGGUGGAUAUUCAGGAGUUUCUUUACUAUUAUUCUCAACUCAACUCUCCUCUAUUCAUCGACAUUGUUGACAGGUUUUUUGCAGAACUUUUUGUUUAGUCUUGUAUUGAUAGAUUCGAUACAUCAUAUCUGAUCUUUUUCCGUGUAAUCCAAAUAAAUCAACGUGAGUUGUCAGAGCAAGUGGUAGGCUAGACUAGACUUUCAUCGUUGUAUUGUGGAUUUCUACUGUUAAUUGAUUUUACAUGGGUCGCUGUCAACAAUGAGAUUUGGUUUGAAUUAAUGGAGUGUGAAAAUGUACAAUGUAACGGUAGUGCUCAUAUUAGCUGUAUUCCAUGAGAAAUAUGAUAUGUUGUGGAAUUGGAAUAAAAAGUAGGGUUUGGUAAUCUUUCCUUU